This 549-nucleotide ribosomal RNA is filed under the name Biscogniauxia mediterranea. RNAcentral describes it as "eukaryotic LSU rRNA". The stretch from base 182 to 335 matches the Rfam family "5.8S ribosomal RNA". The record is from RNAcentral. Lineage: Eukaryota; Fungi; Ascomycota; Sordariomycetes; Xylariales; Xylariaceae.
UUAGCGAUUUAAUUACAACUCCAAACCCCUGUGACUUACCUAUGUUGCCUUGGCAGGUCGUGGUGUGUAGCGUGAUCGCUAUAAGGGAUCACCGCCUCGCACCACGCUGAAAGACCUGUCAAAGGACCCCUAAACUCUGUCUUACAACUGUAUCUCUGAGUCUAUUAUAUAAACAAGUUAAAACUUUCAACAACGGAUCUCUUGGCUCUGGCAUCGAUGAAGAACGCAGCGAAAUGCGAUAAGUAAUGUGAAUUGCAGAAUUCAGUGAAUCAUCGAAUCUUUGAACGCACAUUGCGCCUGAUAGUAUUCUGUCAGGCAUGCCUGUUCGAGCGUCAUUUCAACCCCCAAGCCCUAAUCUGCUUGACGUUGGGAGUUUACGGAGACGUAAUUCCUCAAAUAUAGUGGCGGAGCUAGGUCGUGCUCUAAGCGUAGUAACCACACUCUCGCUUCUGCAGCCGGCCUAGGUCUUGCCGUAAAACCCCUAUAUUUAUUUUUUUACUGGUUGACCUCGGAUCAGGUAGGAAUACCCGCUGAACUUAAGCAUAUCAA